Molecule: ribosomal RNA, 377 nt
Filed under: uncultured eukaryote
Lineage: Eukaryota
Description: partial 18S ribosomal RNA
Rfam family: Eukaryotic small subunit ribosomal RNA
Source: RNAcentral
CAAUAGCGUAUAUUAAAGUUGUUGCAGUUAAAAAGCUCGUAGUUGGAUUUCGGGGUGGCCUGCCUGGUCCACCGCAAGGUGAGUACUGGUCAGCCGCCCUUCCUCUCGAAAGCCCCGACUGCUCUUCAUUGCAGUGGUCGGGUAGUUCGGGACGUUUACUUUGAAAAAAUUAGAGUGUUCAAGGCAGGCUAUCGCCUGAAUACAUUAGAAUGGAAUAAUGGAAGAGGACCUCGGUCCUAUUUUGUUGGUUUCUAGGGCCGAAGUAAUGAUUAAGAGGGACAGUUGGGGGCAUUCGUAUUUAAUUGUCAGAGGUGAAAUUCUUGGAUUUAUGAAAGACGAACUAGUGCGAAAGCAUUUGCCAAGGAUGUUUUCAUUAA